Molecule: ribosomal RNA, 440 nt
Filed under: uncultured bacterium
Lineage: Bacteria
Description: partial 16S ribosomal RNA
Rfam family: Bacterial small subunit ribosomal RNA
Source: RNAcentral
CCUACGGGAGACAGCAGUGGGGAAUAUUGCACAAUGGGGGAAACCCUGAUGCAGCGACGCCGCGUGAGUGAAGAAGCGCCUCGGCGCGUAAAGCUCUGUCAGCAGGAACGACGAUGACGGUACCUGAAGAAGAAGCCCCGGCUAACUACGUGCCAGCAGCCGCGGUAAUACGUAGGGGGCAAGCGUUAUCCGGAUUUACUGGGUGUAAAGCGCUCGUAGGCGGUAUGUCAAGUCAAGGGUGAAAUCCCCGCGCUCAACGUGGGAACUGCCUUUGAAACUGGCAAACUGGAGUGUGUGAGAGGAUAGUGGAAUUCCAGGUGUAGGAGUGAAAUCCGUAGAUAUCUGGAGGAACAUCAGUGGCGAAGGCGACUAUCUGGCACAUAACUGACGCUGAGGAGCGAAAGCGUGGGUAGCAAACAGGAUUAGAUACCCCAGUAGUC